UAGGGAAUCUUCGGCAAUGGGGGCAACCCUGACCGAGCAACGCCGCGUGAGUGAAGAAGGUCUUCGGAUCGUAAAACUCUGUUGUUAGAGAAGAACACGAGUGAGAGUAACUGUUCAUUCGAUGACGGUAUCUAACCAGCAAGUCACGGCUAACUACGUGUCAG
Molecule: ribosomal RNA, 164 nt
Filed under: uncultured bacterium
Lineage: Bacteria
Description: partial 16S rRNA
Rfam family: Bacterial small subunit ribosomal RNA
Source: RNAcentral